Non-coding RNA from Anas platyrhynchos (mallard), 1085 nucleotides. The record is from RefSeq and is a predicted model, not a curated record. Lineage: Eukaryota; Metazoa; Chordata; Aves; Anseriformes; Anatidae.
CAGAUGGACACACGACCAGACAAACGGCAAGCAAAAAGGCAAACAACCAAAGCCAGCAUUUGCUCCUGAGCUCUAAAAAACAACUGUUCAGUAAUUAUAUGAUAACUAUCUAAAGUGUGACAAACUGAUCUCAGUUACACUUGUAUAAAGCCUGACCACAGUCCAUGUUGUUUCUUAGAUGCAACUGAGAGCCACAAGUGGUUUUAUUAAGGGACAGUUUACAACGUGGAUGUUUCUACCAGGCUAGAUGAGUAAAGGUACGCUGGAAGAAAAUGACUGUCACUUACAGGACCGCCGCGGGAACCCAUUGGACCUGGGGCACCUGCUGGACCAGUCUCUCCCUGUAAGGAACAAGAAUGAUUACCAGGAUUUCCUCCUCUUCCCAGGAGACAGUGAUGCUACUGUUCAUGGCAUCACACAUCUUUAUGGAGGAUGCUUUACCUUAUCUCCAGGUGGGCCGGCAGGACCAGGAGGACCGAUGGGACCGACAUUACCCUAAACAAUUAGAAUAUAUUUUGUAUCAAAAUAUGACACUGUUAUCUCAUUUAUUUUGAUCAAUAUCAUUAUCAACGUGUUUGCACUGAAACACAAAUGUUAUCUAAAUGAAAGCGCUCUACAAUGGCAGCAUGUUGUUGCACACUACAUUUUGGAAUGAUAUACUGACAUCACACUAUUUUGUGAUGUGAGAUAUCUCCAAUUCAUUUCUCAUUAUUUUUCCCCCCAUAUAAAUCUAAUCCAAAGCCACUUGUAGUCAGUGAGUCUCUUUCAAUAGACAACAAAAGUCACCUAUUGCUUUAACUUCUUAUAUAGAUAAUUGGUCCAUAUUUCUCUGGGAUAAAUUCAACAUCUCUUGACCAAUGCCCUCAUUUUUUUUCCUUGAGAAUUCAAUGUGUACCAUAUGGAUUGAAAUCUACUUCUCUACUUCUCCCACUCGUACAAGCUGCGUUAAUAUUUUUUCUGUCCCUUGUUAUUUUGAUGUAUAUAUCACUUACAUGUACUUGUUGGAUUUAUGUAUACACUUCAAGUGCAUAUGCUAUAUAGAUGUAUAAAUAUGUCAUACAUAGUAAACUGUAGUCUGUAUGAGA